UAGAGUUUUGGAUCUGGCUCAGGACGAACGCUGGCGGCGUGCUUAACACAUGCAAGUCGAACGGAAAGGCCCUGCUUUUGUGGGGUGCUCGAGUGGCGAACGGGUGAGUAACACGUGAGUAACCUGCCCUUGACUUUGGGAUAACUUCAGGAAACUGGGGCUAAUACCGGAUAGGAGCUCCUGCUGCAUGGUGGGGGUUGGAAAGUUUCGGCGGUUGGGGAUGGACUCGCGGCUUAUCAGCUUGUUGGUGGGGUAGUGGCUUACCAAGGCUUUGACGGGUAGCCGGCCUGAGAGGGUGACCGGCCACAUUGGGACUGAGAUACGGCCCAGACUCCUACGGGAGGCAGCAGUGGGGAAUAUUGCACAAUGGGCGGAAGCCUGAUGCAGCAACGCCGCGUGCGGGAUGACGGCCUUCGGGUUGUAAACCGCUUUCGCCUGUGACGAAGCGUGUAGUGACGGUAAUGGGUAAAGAAGCACCGGCUA
Molecule: ribosomal RNA, 483 nt
Filed under: uncultured Propionibacterium sp.
Lineage: Bacteria; Bacillati; Actinomycetota; Actinomycetes; Propionibacteriales; Propionibacteriaceae
Description: bacterial SSU rRNA
Rfam family: Bacterial small subunit ribosomal RNA
Source: RNAcentral